CGACCCGAUUGCAGAGAUGGGACCAUCCUCCAGCAUCCUGAUUCAAGAGACACCAGGGUUCAUCUUAACAGAGAAGAGGAUCCUGACCCGACGUGUGUUCGUCAGCUUGGACCCCAAGAUUUCCAUCGAGAAGGCAUACAACAUUUCAUCGAUGCAGCUUCCUGAGUUACAGACUUGGUACCAGAUGCACCUCCAAAGAGCACAGGACCGUGUGCGAAACAUCUUGGAGCAAGCCCGGAAACCAUUUGUAUCCAGUUCUAUUCCGAUGAGCAACCGACCCAAAAGGUUCCUCACCGCUAUAAUUGUUGCAUUAGUUUGUGCCACUGUCGGUGCAGUUGUCGCAACUGGAAUGUCUGCAG
Non-coding RNA from Pelobates cultripes (western spadefoot toad), 359 nucleotides. The record is from the annotation of a GenBank genome assembly. NCBI's taxonomy places the organism in Eukaryota, Metazoa, Chordata, Amphibia, Anura, Pelobatidae.